Long non-coding RNA from Ipomoea nil (Japanese morning glory), 148 nucleotides. RefSeq lists it as uncharacterized. The transcript is spliced from 3 exons. NCBI's taxonomy places the organism in Eukaryota, Viridiplantae, Streptophyta, Magnoliopsida, Solanales, Convolvulaceae. The record is from RefSeq and is a predicted model, not a curated record.
CUCGCUAGAGCCAAGAGGCUUCGUAUGAUGAAAAUUCUUGGAAGCUGACCUAUUCAGUGAUAUCAUCACUUUCUACUAUCCAACCACUGUCAUAUAUACACCUAGCUAGGUGACUAUAGCUUCAUUAUUUUGAUGCUAAUGCGCUGUU